UUUCCGUAGGUGAACCUGCGGAAGGAUCAUUACUGAGUGAGGGCCCUCUGGGUCCAACCUCCCACCCGUGUUUAUUGUACCUUGUUGCUUCGGUGAGCCCGCCUCACGGCCGCCGGGGGGCAUCUGCCCCCGGGCCCGCGCCCACCGAAGACACCUAGAACUUUGUAUGAAGAUUGCAGUCUGAGCAAAAACUAAAUAAGUUAAAACUUUCAACAACGGAUCUCUUGGUUCCG
This 233-nucleotide unclassified non-coding RNA is filed under the name plant metagenome. RNAcentral describes it as "partial contains small subunit ribosomal RNA, internal transcribed spacer 1, and 5.8S ribosomal RNA". The record is from RNAcentral.